Molecule: long non-coding RNA, 2190 nt
Filed under: Lathyrus oleraceus (garden pea)
Lineage: Eukaryota; Viridiplantae; Streptophyta; Magnoliopsida; Fabales; Fabaceae
Description: Pisum sativum (pea) long non-coding RNA (PSAT_LNC020763)
Source: RNAcentral
UUUUGCUCAAAAAGUACAAUGUCCGAAAUGCAGCUUCCUAGAAUCUGGAUGACGGAUCCUAUUGCAAAAGCAUCAUGGAUUAAAGAGUGGACAAGUUGACGGGAUUAUCCGGCCAAGUGAAAGUACUAGCAGAUGCAUAACCUACAAGACUAGAUCCAAACCAUUAGCAAGUUUUAUUACGGAAUUAUAUCCAUAAAUCUAAUAGCACUACUCGUGGAUAUUGGUUUGUUACAAGCAAGAAUUGAUGAUGUACAAGAUAAUCCAUAAAUCCUAAUAACAUCACAAUUGGUUUGGAGAGUUUCUUAUUUUAAAUUAGUAUCAACACACAACAAAUCGAGAUGCAAAUACGUGAUUGAGCAUGGUCAAAUGACUCGAUAACAUAACUCAAGUCGCUACACAUUACCAACAAAAGUGGCCCGAUGAAGACGAAGGUUGAACAUAGCAAGUUGUGCCGGUUGUAAAACAGAAACCUGCAGCGUAACGAUCACGGAGAGGAUAUUUCGAAAAGUUUAGGAUGCUACCACAACCUGUGAAGGGUUGGACCUGCAAAUCAUCAAAACCUACGGUUCAUUAACUAUCAUCACUACCUGAAGUGUUAAACAAAAACUAAGAGGCAUGAUACAAAUCCAGCCAUUCAGAUGCUAAAUCCCCACACCAAUUCUAUCAUCAAGGCGUAGAGGGGAAAAAUCUGGCACAUCAAACAUUGCACGAUUCGACCACACUCAUAUCUAUAUCUACAAAAUGUUCUCCACGGCAAGACUAUAACAACUGUGGCACCUCAGGUCGUAUGAUUGUCGCAAGAGUGUGUCACAUCCAAGGUCCUACAAAAGCAAAUAAGUUCGAUUAACAAGCAACCAACACAAUCCAGAAAAUUACUAUUGACUACCCUUCAUCACAAACGAAUGACAACCAAAUCGUUAUGUACUCAUAUCCCUAAGCUGCAAGGAUCACUGCAUUAAUGCAGGAUAAACUGUUAAGUCAUCUUAUCAGUAAAAGCCAAAAUAACUUAGACUAAGAGUUGAAAUAUAUGUAACUGUAAAAAAAUCAAACUUCUACCACAACAAACGCACAUUUACUGCAGUAAAACCUUAAUAAAGGAGUCAACAAAAAUAAGCCACAUCUUUGGAGGAUUAUGCUACAGACAAAAUAGAUUGGCUCUAAACAAAAAAACAAAUCAAAGGUUUGUGAUCGGUCCCCAAAAAAAAUCUGAGGGAAAAAUUCUCUCUAACGGAUUGAUCCUAUCCAAGAUUUUCCAAAUCAUGAAAGAUAAAGACGGAAGAGCCUCGUACAAAGACUCUAUAUAAAGACCAUUUGAUCAUUGAAGCGGGGAUCCUUUCGCCAAGCAUCGUUACCUUGCCGAAAUCUCGUACCGACCCAUACCCAAAGCUCAAAAUACAAAAGGUGACUCAGAGUUUAUCCCUAAAACUCUGAGUAAGCCAAGCUAAGCCAUUACUAAACCAAGGCACGCACCAGAUCGGUAAAGAGGAACAGAAACGGAGAGGAUUCGAAGUACACAAAGCAAAGAGGAUCACUUACCAGGUAUACUCGCGGCCAAUGGAUAUGCGUCAAUAGUUGUGCGAAUCAUCUUCUCUGUUUGUUUCAAACGUCAUAGCAUUUGCAUAGAUUUGUUGCUUCUGUUUUGAUUUGUCAAUUUCUUGGUUAUUGGUGGUGGAUAUAAAAAGUGGCAUUAGAAGCUUUUAUACCUUGGUUACCUGAACCUCACAUCCGUUACGGCGAGAAUAGGGUGCGGAGGAAUCGGAUCGGGAUUUAGAAAUAGGAUAGGCUGGCAUUCGAUGUUGUUUUGGGAAUUAGGUAGUUGAAUUUUUGUGAAUCGAAGGUUGCGUAAGGGUGAACACCGAAGAGUGGGGUUCAUCGCCUUCUUUCUUCUUUUUGCUUUCUUAUUUUUUUUAGCUUAAAAGUUCAGGGUGUGUGUUUAAGGUGGAAGGAAGGAUCCGUUACAAUGCAUAUGUUGAUUUAAGUAGAGUUUUUUUUAUUCCCCAUAAAGUCCAUUAAAUUUGGUUAUUGGAUUUAUAAGACCUGGGUUGGACAAAGCAUGUACAGUUUAUCUUUUCAAAGUUUAGCUUUAUUGGCAUUAACGUUGUUUUAAUGGCCAACAGUGGAGAAUCCAAAAAGGGUCAUGUGAUCCUUUCUGAUGUUCCAUUGUAUGACUUUCCCUUGCCUUGCCACGUG